This 405-nucleotide ribosomal RNA is filed under the name uncultured Burkholderia sp. RNAcentral describes it as "bacterial SSU rRNA". It matches the Rfam family "Bacterial small subunit ribosomal RNA", at positions 601 to 962 of the family's 1533-position model. The record is from RNAcentral. Lineage: Bacteria; Pseudomonadati; Pseudomonadota; Betaproteobacteria; Burkholderiales; Burkholderiaceae.
UACCUCCCCUCGUUGCGUCGUCGUCCCUCCCCGAACCUACGGCGGGGUAACUUUACCGUUUAACGGGAAACGGACUGGGUAACGGUAACGUACGAAACGACGACUAGGUAGUAGUCGGCCGCGUCCGACGGAAGUAACGUAACCUAGUCGGACGGACGAGACCGCCCCUGGGGCCCAAUACUGACGCUCAUGCACGAAAGCGUGGGGAGCAAACAGGAUUAGAUACCCUGGUAGUCCACGCCCUAAACGAUGUCAACUAGUUGUUGGGGAUUCAUUUCCUUAGUAACGUAGCUAACGCGUGAAGUUGACCGCCGUGGGGAGUACCGGUCCCAAGAAUUAAAACUCAAAGGGAUUGACGGGGACCCGCACAAGCGGUGGAUGAUGUGGAUUAAUUCGAUGCAACGC